This 880-nucleotide long non-coding RNA is filed under the name Homo sapiens (human). RNAcentral describes it as "HSALNT0409333". The record is from RNAcentral. Lineage: Eukaryota; Metazoa; Chordata; Mammalia; Primates; Hominidae.
CUGUAACUUUAGUCUAGGCUCUGGCUAUACGGCAUUGUGACAUAUCACUGCACUGAUCACCCAGGUGAUAUAACUCUUCUCUAGGAUUUGCCUACAGGGUGCUUUGUGACAUAUCCCUGCAAUGAUCACCCAGGUGAUGUACCACUUGUCAAAGCUCUGCCUACAGGGACAUUGCGAUGUAUCUCUGCACUGAUCACCUAGGUCAUGUAACCGUUGUCUAGGCUCUGCCUACAGUGGCAUUGUGACAUAUCUCUGCACUGAUCACCCGAGUGAUGUAACUCUUCUCCAGGAUCUGCCUAACGGGACUUUGUGACAUAACUCUGCACUGAUCAUCCAGGUGAUGGGGCUUUUGUCUAGGAUCUGCCUAAGGGGGCAUUGUGACAUAUUUCUGCACUGAUCACCCAGGUGAUGGACUCUUGUCUUGGAUCUGCCUAUGGGGGCAUUGUGACAUAUCUCUGCACUGAUCACCCAGGUGAUGUAACUGUUGUAUAAGCUCUGCCUACAGGGUAAUUGUGAGAGAUCUCGCCACUGAUCAACCAACUGUUGUAACUAUUGUCUAGGCUUUGCCUACAGGGGGCUUUGUGACAUACCUUUGCACUGAUAACCCAGGUGAUAUAACUCAUCCAAGUUCUGCCUACAGGAGCUUUGUGACAUAUCUCUGCACUGAUCACUUAGGUGAUGUAACACUUUUAUAAGCACUGCCUACAGGGAAUUUUGACAAAUCUCUGCACUGAUCACCUAGGUGAUGUAACUCUUGUCUACCCUCUGCCCAAAGGGGGCACUGUGAAAUAUCUCUGCACAAAAUCACCCAGGUGAUUCAACUCUUGUCUAGGUUCUGCCUACAGUGGGUGUUGUGAAAUAUCUCUGCACUGAUGAACUA